RNAcentral lists this ribosomal RNA (491 nucleotides) under uncultured bacterium. RNAcentral's name for it is "bacterial SSU rRNA". It matches the Rfam family "Bacterial small subunit ribosomal RNA", at positions 28 to 507 of the family's 1533-position model. The record is from RNAcentral.
GAUGAACGCUAGCUACAGGCUUAACACAUGCAAGUCGAGGGGAAACGACAUCGAAAGCUUGCUUUGAUGGGCGUCGACCGGCGCACGGGUGAGUAACGCGUAUCCAACCUGCCCGUCACUUGGGGAUAACCUUGCGAAAGUAAGACUAAUACCCAAUGAUAUCCCACGAAGGCAUCCGAAUGGGAUUAAAGAUUUAUCGGUGAUGGAUGGGGAUGCGUCUGAUUAGCUUGUUGGCGGGGUAACGGCCCACCAAGGCAACGAUCAGUAGGGGGUUCUGAGAGGAAGGUCCCCCACAUUGGAACUGAGACACGGUCCAAACUCCUACGGGAGGCAGCAGUGAGGAAUAUUGGUCAAUGGGCGAGAGCCUGAACCAGCCAAGUAGCGUGCAGGAUGACGGCCCUAUGGGUUGUAAACUGCUUUUAUAGGGGAAUAAAGUGAGCCACGUGUGGUUUUUGCAUGUACCCUAUGAAUAAGGACCGGCUAAUUCCGUG